GAAAAUGAAGUGUUAUUACACAGCAGGCUGUAAACCUGAAAAAGUCCAAAACCUUUUUCA
This 60-nucleotide transfer RNA is filed under the name Epimeria cornigera. RNAcentral describes it as "tRNA-Tyr". Lineage: Eukaryota; Metazoa; Arthropoda; Malacostraca; Amphipoda; Epimeriidae. The record is from RNAcentral.